UGACCAGAGCAUGCUGAGCUCAAAGGGGCCAAAAUGAUCCUGGGUCUAAGGUGUGAUACAACGGAUGGGUGCUGUCAUCAAGGCCCCAUUGGCUCUGCUCUUGGUUCCUGGAAGCCCUCCAGCUCCACAGUGACAUGGGCUGCUGUCCUCAGGCUCUGUGCCUUGUCCCCUGGAAGCACCAUCAGCCCCUGGCACUUCUGGAAGAUUGAAAAGCCUCCAUCAGCCUCUCUCAUCACAGAGCCUGCCUCUGCUCCUCACUGGCCCUAUUUCCACCUGGAUGGCAUAAUGUAUGCCAGGAAAGCAGGCUCCUACUCUCUGAUGAGUUCUACAAAAAUAAACACAGAAGACUUCCUGAAACACACACAGCUGCCAGGGAAAACUGACUACCCAAGUCAUGGGGCCCAGAGCAAAAGGAAAAGGUGCUGCUCACAAAAGGGCGAUUCCAGCUGGCUUUUCCAUCUUGCCGAAGGUGAAUUAAAGAGAAGAUGGAUCUCUCUCCACUCAGCCCAUGCUAUGGAAAUCCCCACUGUUGGUGGUGGGAUAUAAAUGGUUACAGGGAGCCGGCUGCAUGCAUGUGUUACUUCACAGCGGUUUCUGGAAAUUGCACUACUGGCUGUUGCCCAUGACACUUGCUCACCCCCUGGGAAGUUGGUCAUAGAGUUGAUGUCCUCUGAUCACCAGGCUGUAUUCUGGGAGCUUCUAGCUCUGCCUGCA
This 714-nucleotide long non-coding RNA is filed under the name Fukomys damarensis (Damara mole-rat). Its description in RNAcentral is "lncRNA (ENSFDAG00000026006.1)". The record is from RNAcentral. Lineage: Eukaryota; Metazoa; Chordata; Mammalia; Rodentia; Bathyergidae.